CGAGAAAGCCCGCAAGGGUGAGUAAAGCGGCGCACGGGUGCGUAACACGUGGGUAAUCUGCCCUAGAGUCCGGAAUAACUCGCCGAAAGGCGCGCUAAUGCCGGAUGAGACCACGGGAGCCUCGGCUCCUGCGGGAAAAGGUGGCCUCUGUACACAAGCUAUCGCUCUAGGAUGAGCCCGCGGCCCAUCAGCUCGUUGGCGGGGUAAUGGCCCACCAAGGCUACGACGGGUAGCUGGUCUGAGAGGACGAUCAGCCACACUGGAACUGAGACACGGUCCAGACUCCUACGGGAGGCAGCAGUGGGGAAUCUUGCGCAAUGGGCGAAAGCCUGACGCAGCAACGCCGCGUGUGUGAUGAAGGUCUUCGGAUCGUAAAGCACUGUCGCGAGGGACG
This 394-nucleotide ribosomal RNA is filed under the name uncultured Anaeromyxobacter sp. RNAcentral's name for it is "bacterial SSU rRNA". It matches the Rfam family "Bacterial small subunit ribosomal RNA", at positions 67 to 447 of the family's 1533-position model. The record is from RNAcentral. Lineage: Bacteria; Pseudomonadati; Myxococcota; Myxococcia; Myxococcales; Anaeromyxobacteraceae.